UACGAAGGGGGCUAGCGUUGUUCGGAAUCACUGGGCGUAAAGCGCACGUAGGCGGAUCUUUAAGUCAGAGGUGAAAUCCCAAGGCUCAACCUUGGAACUGCCUUUGAUACUGGAGAUCUUGAGUCCGGGAGAGGUGAGUGGAACUGCGAGUGUAGAGGUGAAAUUCGUAGAUAUUCGCAAGAACACCAGUGGCGAAGGCGGCUCACUGGCCCGGUAUUGACGCUGAGGUGCGAAAGCGUGGGGAGCAAACAGG
Molecule: ribosomal RNA, 253 nt
Filed under: uncultured bacterium
Lineage: Bacteria
Description: partial 16S ribosomal RNA
Rfam family: Bacterial small subunit ribosomal RNA
Source: RNAcentral